RNAcentral lists this ribosomal RNA (250 nucleotides) under Salmonella enterica subsp. enterica serovar Infantis. RNAcentral describes it as "partial 23S ribosomal RNA". It matches the Rfam family "Bacterial large subunit ribosomal RNA", at positions 1 to 242 of the family's 2925-position model. RNAcentral also lists the same sequence under 22 other names. The record is from RNAcentral. Lineage: Bacteria; Pseudomonadati; Pseudomonadota; Gammaproteobacteria; Enterobacterales; Enterobacteriaceae.
GGGUUGUGAGGUUAAGCGACUAAGCGUACACGGUGGAUGCCCUGGCAGUCAGAGGCGAUGAAGGGCGUGCUAAUCUGCGAUAAGCGCCGGUAAGGUGAUAUGAACCGUUAUAACCGGCGAUACCCGAAUGGGGAAACCCAGUGUGACUCGUCACACUAUCAUUAACUGAAUCCAUAGGUUAAUGAGGCGAACCGGGGGAACUGAAACAUCUAAGUACCCCGAGGAAAAGAAAUCAACCGAGAUUCCCCCA